Molecule: ribosomal RNA, 451 nt
Filed under: uncultured bacterium
Lineage: Bacteria
Description: bacterial SSU rRNA
Rfam family: Bacterial small subunit ribosomal RNA
Source: RNAcentral
GUGGGGAAUUUUGCGCAAUGGGGGAAACCCUGACGCAGCGACGCCGCGUGGGUGAUGAAGGCCUUCGGGUCGUAAAGCCCUGUCGAGCGGGACGAAACGUGCGGGCUCUAACAUAGCUCGUGCUUGACGGUACCGCUGGAGGAAGCCCCGGCUAACUCCGUGCCAGCAGCCGCGGUAAUACGGGGGGGGCGAGCGUUAUUCGGAAUUAUUGGGCGUAAAGGGCGUGUAGGCGGCCCAGCAUGUCCUCUGUGAAAGCCCUCGGCUCAACCGAGGAACUGCAGGGGAAACUGCGGGGCUUGAGUCCGGGAGAGGAGAGCGGAAUUCCCAGUGUAGCGGUGAAAUGCGUAGAUAUUGGGAGGAACACCAGUGGCGAAGGCGGCUCUCUGGACCGGUACUGACGCUAAAGCGCGAAAGCUAGGGGAGCAAACGGGAUUAGAUACCCCAGUAGUCC